CCUACGGGUGACAGCAGUGGGGAAUAUUGGGCAAUGGGCGCAAGCCUGACCCAGCAACGCCGCGUGAAGGAAGAAGGCUUUCGGGUUGUAAACUUCUUUUCUGAGGGACGAAGAGAGUGCCGUUACUGCAGGAUCAAGCCAUGCCUAACUACGUGCCAGCAGCCGCGGGAAUACGGAGGGGGCAAGUGUUAUCCGGAUUUCUUGGGUGUAAGGGGCGUGUAGGCGGGAAAGCAAGUCAGAUGUGAAAACUCAGGGCUCAACCCUGAGCCUGCAUUUGAAACUGUUUUUCUUGAGUACUGGAGAGGCAGACGGAAUUCCGAGUGUAGCGGUGAAAUGCGUAGAUAUACGGAGGAACACCAGUGGCGAAGGCGGAUUGCUGGACAGUAACUGACGCUGAGGCGCGAAAGCGUGGGGAGCAAACAGGAUUAGAUACCCCUGUAGUC
RNAcentral lists this ribosomal RNA (443 nucleotides) under uncultured bacterium. Its description in RNAcentral is "partial 16S ribosomal RNA". It matches the Rfam family "Bacterial small subunit ribosomal RNA", at positions 338 to 795 of the family's 1533-position model. The record is from RNAcentral.